RNAcentral lists this ribosomal RNA (522 nucleotides) under Atergatis reticulatus. RNAcentral's name for it is "partial 16S ribosomal RNA". It matches the Rfam family "Bacterial large subunit ribosomal RNA", at positions 1829 to 2597 of the family's 2925-position model. Lineage: Eukaryota; Metazoa; Arthropoda; Malacostraca; Decapoda; Xanthidae. The record is from RNAcentral.
GUCCGUUUGGAGGUAAAAAUGGUCUGACCUGCUCACUGAUAAAAUUAUUUAAGAGCCGCGGUAUAUUGACCGUGCAAAGGUAGCAUAAUCAUUAGGGAUUUAAUUGGAACCUGGUAUGAAGGGUUGGACAAAGGAAAGACUGUCUAUAUAAUAUGAAUUGAAAUUUACCUUUAAGUGAAAAGGCUUAAAUAGAUCAAAGGGACGAUAAGACCCUAUAAAGCUUUAUAAAUAAUUUAAAUUUAAUUAAUUUAACGGUUAAAGGUUGAGUUCAUAUUAUUUUAUUUUAUUGGGGUGAUAUGAGUAUAAGUGUUGUUAACUGCUUAAAAAAAAUUCUGUUAUUAGAGAAUUAAUUAAGUGAAUGAUCCUUUAUAAAGAUUAAAAGACUAAGUUACUUUAGGGAUAACAGCGUUAUUUCUUUUGAGAGUUCAUAUCGAAAAAGAAGAUUGCGACCUCGAUGUUGAAUUAAAAUAUCUAUAUAAUGAAGCCGUUAUAAAAGAGGGUCUGUUCGACCUUUAAAUUUUU